RNAcentral lists this ribosomal RNA (235 nucleotides) under uncultured bacterium. RNAcentral's name for it is "partial 16S ribosomal RNA". It matches the Rfam family "Bacterial small subunit ribosomal RNA", at positions 99 to 334 of the family's 1533-position model. The record is from RNAcentral.
CGGACGGGUGAGUAACGCGUGGGUAACCUGCCUCAUACAGGGGGAUAGCAGCUGGAAACGGCUGGUAAUACCGCAUAAGCGCACAGUACCACAUGGUACAGUGUGAAAAACUCCGGUGGUAUGAGAUGGACCCGCGUCUGAUUAGCUUGUUGGCGGGGUAACGGCCCACCAAGGCGACGAUCAGUAGCCGACCUGAGAGGGUGACCGGCCACAUUGGGACUGAGACACGGUCCAA